This 459-nucleotide ribosomal RNA is filed under the name uncultured bacterium. RNAcentral describes it as "partial 16S ribosomal RNA". It matches the Rfam family "Bacterial small subunit ribosomal RNA", at positions 338 to 795 of the family's 1533-position model. The record is from RNAcentral.
CCUACGGGAGGCAGCAGUGAGGAAUAUUGGUCAAUGGUCGGGAGACUGAACCAGCCAAGCCGCGUGAGGGAUGAAGGUACAGAGUAUCGUAAACCUCUUUUGUCAGGGAACAAAGGCGGGGACGUGUCCCCGGAUGAGUGUACCUGAAGAAAAAGCAUCGGCUAACUCCGUGCCAGCAGCCGCGGUAAUACGGAGGAUGCGAGCGUUAUCCGGAUUUAUUGGGGUUAAAGGGUGCGCAGGCGGUCUGUUAAGUCGGCGGUCAAAGCCCGGGGCGAAACCCCGGCCCGCCGUUGAAACUGGCAGUCGCGAGUUGGAGAGAAGUAUGCGGAAUGCGCGGAGGAGCGGUGAAAUGCAUAGAUAUGGCGCAGAACUCCGAUUGCGAAGGCAGCAUGCCGGCUCCACACUGACGCUGAGGCACGAAAGCGUGGGUAUCGAACAGGAUUAGAUACCCCUGUAGUC